CGGGUAGCCGGCCUGAGAGGGCGACCGGGCACACUGGGACUGAGACACGGCCCAGACUCCUACGGGAGGCAGCAGUGGGGAAUAUUGCACAAUGGGCGCAAGCCUGAUGCAGCGACGCCGCGUGAGGGAUGAAGGCCUUCGGGUUGUAAACCUCUUUCAGCAGGGAAGAAGCGCAAGUGACGGUACCUGCAGAAGAAGCGCCGGCUAACUACGUGCCAGCAGCCGCGGUAAUACGUAGGGCGCAAGCGUUGUCCGGAAUUAUUGGGCGUAAAGAGCUCGUAGGCGGUUUGUCGCGUCUGGUGUGAAAACUCAAGGCUCAACCUUGAGCUUGCAUCGGGUACGGGCAGACUAGAGUGCGGUAGGGGUGACUGGAAUUCCUGGUGUAGCGGUGGAAUGCGCAGAUAUCAGGAGGAACACCGAUGGCGAAGGCAGGUCACUGGGCCGCAACUGACGCUGAGGAGCGAAAGCAUGGGGAGCGAACAGGAUUAGAUACCCUGGUAGUCCAUGCCGUAAACGUUGGGCACUAGGUGUGGGGCUCAUUCCACGAGUUCCGUGCCGCAGCAAACGCAUUAAGUGCCCCGCCUGGGGAGUACGGCCGCAAGGCUAAAACUCAAAGGAAUUGACGGGGGCCCGCACAAGCGGCGGAGCAUGCGGAUUAAUUCGAUGCAACGCGAAGAACCUUACCAAGGCUUGACAUACACCGGAAACUUCCAGAGAUGGUUGCCCCGCAAGGUCGGUGUACAGGUGGUGCAUGGUUGUCGUCAGCUCGUGUCGUGAGAUGUUGGGUUAAGUCCCGCAACGAGCGCAACCCUCGUCUUAUGUUGCCAGCACGUCAUGGUGGGGACUCAUAAGAGACUGCCGGGGUCAACUCGGAGGAAGGUGGGGAUGACGUCAAAUCAUCAUGCCCCUUAUGUCUUGGGCUUCACGCAUGCUACAAUGGCCGGUACAAAGGGCUGCGAUACCGCGAGGUGGAGCGAAUCCCAAAAAGCCGGUCUCAGUUCGGAUUGGGGUCUGCAACUCGACCCCAUGAAGUCGGAGUCGCUAGUAAUCGCAGAUCAGCAACGCUGCGGUGAAUACGUUCCCGGGCCUUGUACACACCGCC
RNAcentral lists this ribosomal RNA (1102 nucleotides) under Oerskovia sp. Its description in RNAcentral is "bacterial SSU rRNA". It matches the Rfam family "Bacterial small subunit ribosomal RNA", at positions 280 to 1394 of the family's 1533-position model. Lineage: Bacteria; Bacillati; Actinomycetota; Actinomycetes; Micrococcales; Cellulomonadaceae. The record is from RNAcentral.